GGGGUCGUAGCUCAGUGGUCAGAGCAGGGGACUCAUAAUCCCUGGGUCGCAGGUUCGAUCCCUGCCGGCCCCA
Molecule: transfer RNA, 73 nt
Filed under: Actinomycetota bacterium
Lineage: Bacteria; Bacillati; Actinomycetota
Description: tRNA-Ile
Rfam family: tRNA
About the family: Transfer RNA (tRNA) molecules are approximately 80 nucleotides in length. Their secondary structure includes four short double-helical elements and three loops (D, anti-codon, and T loops). Further hydrogen bonds mediate the characteristic L-shaped molecular structure. tRNAs have two regions of fundamental functional importance: the anti-codon, which is responsible for specific mRNA codon recognition, and the 3' end, to which the tRNAs corresponding amino acid is attached (by aminoacyl-tRNA synthetases). tRNAs cope with the degeneracy of the genetic code in two manners: having more than one tRNA (with a specific anti-codon) for a particular amino acid; and 'wobble' base-pairing, i.e. permitting non-standard base-pairing at the 3rd anti-codon position.
Source: RNAcentral